ACGGGUGCGGAACACGUACGCAACUUACCCAAAACUGGGGAAUAGCCCGGGGAAACCCGGAUUAAUACCUCGUAACAUAAUGAAGUGGCAUCACUUUAUUAUUAUAGCUCCGGCGGUUUUGGAUGGGCGUGCGCCUGAUUAGGUAGUUGGCGGGGUAACGGCCCACCAAGCCUACGAUCAGUAACUGGUGUGAGAGCACGACCAGUCACACGGGCACUGAGACACGGGCCCGACUCCUACGGGAGGCAGCAGUAAGGAAUAUUGGUCAAUGGACGCAAGUCUGAACCAGCCAUGCCGCGUGAAGGAUGAAGGUCCUCUGGAUUGUAAACUUCUUUUAUAUGGGAAGAAAUCCAUCUUUUCUUGGGUGGUUGACGGUACCAUAGGAAUAAGCACCGGCUAACUCCGUGCCAGCAGCCGCGGUAAUACGGAGGGUGCAAGCGUUAUCCGGAUUCACUGGGUUUAAAGGGUGCGUAGGAGGGCAGGUAAGUCAGUGGUGAAAUCUCCAAGCUUAACUUGGAAACUGCCGUUGAUACUAUCUGUCUUGAAUACCGUGGAGAUGAGCGGAAUAUGUCAUGUAGCGGUGA
This 584-nucleotide ribosomal RNA is filed under the name uncultured bacterium. RNAcentral describes it as "bacterial SSU rRNA". It matches the Rfam family "Bacterial small subunit ribosomal RNA", at positions 102 to 684 of the family's 1533-position model. The record is from RNAcentral.